GGGUAGCUAUGUAGGGAAGGGAUAAACGCUGAAAGCAUCUAAGUGUGAAGCCCACCUCAAGAUGAGAUUUCCCAUGAUUUUAUAUCAGUAAGAGCCCUGAGAGAUGAUCAGGUUGAUAGGUUAGAAGUGGAAGUGUGGUGACACAUGUAGCGGACUAAUACUAAUAGCUCGAGGACUUAUCCAAC
Molecule: ribosomal RNA, 185 nt
Filed under: Streptococcus thermophilus
Lineage: Bacteria; Bacillati; Bacillota; Bacilli; Lactobacillales; Streptococcaceae
Description: partial 23S ribosomal RNA
Rfam family: Bacterial large subunit ribosomal RNA
Source: RNAcentral